GGACGAUUAGCUCAGUGGGAGAGCACCUGCUUGACGUGCAGGGGGUCAGGGGUUCAAAUCCCUUAUCGUCCACCA
Molecule: transfer RNA, 75 nt
Filed under: Erysipelothrix sp.
Lineage: Bacteria; Bacillati; Bacillota; Erysipelotrichia; Erysipelotrichales; Erysipelotrichaceae
Description: tRNA-Val
Rfam family: tRNA
About the family: Transfer RNA (tRNA) molecules are approximately 80 nucleotides in length.
Source: RNAcentral